Molecule: ribosomal RNA, 305 nt
Filed under: uncultured bacterium
Lineage: Bacteria
Description: bacterial SSU rRNA
Rfam family: Bacterial small subunit ribosomal RNA
Source: RNAcentral
ACCUACGGGGCGCAGCAGUGAGGAAUAUUGGUCAAUGGGCGGGAGCCUGAACCAGCCAAGCCGCGUGAGGGAAGAAGGUACAGCGUAUCGUAAACCUCUUUUGUCAGGGAACAAAGGCGGGGACUAGUCCCCGGAUGAGGGUACCUGAAGAAGAAGCAUCGGCUAACUCCGUGCCAGCAGCCGCGGUAAUACGGAGGAUGCGAGCGUUAUCCGGAUUUAUUGGGUUUAAAGGGUGCGUAGGCGGGCUUUUAAGUCAGCGGUAAAAAUUCGGGGCUCAACCCCGUCCGGCCGUUGAAACUGGGGGC